AGCCCAGAGCCUGAAUCAGUGUGUGUGUUAGUGGAAGCGUCUGGAAAGGCGCGCGAUACAGGGUGACAGCCCCGUACACAAAAAUGCACAUACUGUGAGCUCGAUGAGUAGGGCGGGACACGUGGUAUCCUGUCUGAAUAUGGGGGGACCAUCCUCCAAGGCUAAAUACUCCUGACUGACCGAUAGUGAACCAGUACCGUGAGGGAAAGGCGAAAAGAACCCCGGCGAGGGGAGUGAAAAAGAACCUGAAACCGUGUACGUACAAGCAGUGGGAGCCUCUUUAUGGGGUGACUGCGUACCUUUUGUAUAAUGGGUCAGCGACUUAUAUUCUGUAGCAAGGUUAACCGAAUAGGGGAGCCGAAGGGAAACCGAGUCUUAACUGGGCGUUAAGUUGCAGGGUAUAGACCCGAAACCCGGUGAUCUAGCCAUGGGCAGGUUGAAGGUUGGGUAACACUAACUGGAGGACCGAACCGACUAAUGUUGAAAAAUUAGCGGAUGACUUGUGGCUGGGGGUGAAAGGCCAAUCAAACCGGGAGAUAGCUGGUUCUCCCCGAAAGCUAUUUAGGUAGCGCCUCGUGAAUUCAUCUCCGGGGGUAGAGCACUGUUUCGGCAAGGGGGUCAUCCCGACUUACCAACCCGAUGCAAACUGCGAAUACCGGAGAAUGUUAUCACGGGAGACACACGGCGGGUGCUAACGUCCGUCGUGAAGAGGGAAACAACCCAGACCGCCAGCUAAGGUCCCAAAGUCAUGGUUAAGUGGGAAACGAUGUGGGAAGGCCCAGACAGCCAGGAUGUUGGCUUAGAAGCAGCCAUCAUUUAAAGAAAGCGUAAUAGCUCACUGGUCGAGUCGGCCUGCGCGGAAGAUGUAACGGGGCUAAACCAUGCACCGAAGCUGCGGCAGCGACACUAUGUGUUGUUGGGUAGGGGAGCGUUCUGUAAGCCUGCGAAGGUGUACUGUGAGGUAUGCUGGAGGUAUCAGAAGUGCGAAUGCUGACAUAAGUAACGAUAAAGCGGGUGAAAAGCCCGCUCGCCGGAAGACCAAGGGUUCCUGUCCAACGUUAAUCGGGGCAGGGUGAGUCGACCCCUAAGGCGAGGCCGAAAGGCGUAGUCGAUGGGAAACAGGUUAAUAUUCCUGUACUUGGUGUUACUGCGAAGGGGGGACGGAGAAGGCUAUGUUGGCCGGGCGACGGUUGUCCCGGUUUAAGCGUGUAGGCUGGUUUUCCAGGCAAAUCCGGAAAAUCAAGGCUGAGGCGUGAUGACGAGGCACUACGGUGCUGAAGCAACAAAUGCCCUGCUUCCAGGAAAAGCCUCUAAGCAUCAGGUAACAUUAAAUCGUACCCCAAACCGACACAGGUGGUCAGGUAGAGAAUACCAAGGCGCUUGAGAGAACUCGGGUGAAGGAACUAGGCAAAAUGGUGCCGUAACUUCGGGAGAAGGCACGCUGAUAUGUAGGUGAAGCGACUUGCUCGUGGAGCUGAAAUCAGUCGAAGAUACCAGCUGGCUGCAACUGUUUAUUAAAAACACAGCACUGUGCAAACACGAAAGUGGACGUAUACGGUGUGACGCCUGCCCGGUGCCGGAAGGUUAAUUGAUGGGGUUAGCGGUAACGCGAAGCUCUUGAUCGAAGCCCCGGUAAACGGCGGCCGUAACUAUAACGGUCCUAAGGUAGCGAAAUUCCUUGUCGGGUAAGUUCCGACCUGCACGAAUGGCGUAAUGAUGGCCAGGCUGUCUCCACCCGAGACUCAGUGAAAUUGAACUCGCUGUGAAGAUGCAGUGUACCCGCGGCAAGACGGAAAGACCCCGUGAACCUUUACUAUAGCUUGACACUGAACAUUGAGCCUUGAUGUGUAGGAUAGGUGGGAGGCUUUGAAGUGUGGACGCCAGUCUGCAUGGAGCCGGCCUUGAAAUACCACCCUUUAAUGUUUGAUGUUCUAACGUUGGCCCCUGACCGGGGUUGCGGACAGUGUCUGGUGGGUAGUUUGACUGGGGCGGUCUCCUCCUAAAGAGUAACGGAGGAGCACGAAGGUUGGCUAAUCCUGGUCGGACAUCAGGAGGUUAGUGCAAUGGCAUAAGCCAGCUUGACUGCGAGCGUGACGGCGCGAGCAGGUGCGAAAGCAGGUCAUAGUGAUCCGGUGGUUCUGAAUGGAAGGGCCAUCGCUCAACGGAUAAAAGGUACUCCGGGGAUAACAGGCUGAUACCGCCCAAGAGUUCAUAUCGACGGCGGUGUUUGGCACCUCGAUGUCGGCUCAUCACAUCCUGGGGCUGAAGUAGGUCCCAAGGGUAUGGCUGUUCGCCAUUUAAAGUGGUACGCGAGCUGGGUUUAGAACGUCGUGAGACAGUUCGGUCCCUAUCUGCCGUGGGCGCUGGAGAACUGAGGGGGGCUGCUCCUAGUACGAGAGGACCGGAGUGGACGCAUCACUGGUGUUCGGGUUGUCAUGCCAAUGGCACUGCCCGGUAGCUAAAUGCGGAAGAGAUAAGUGCUGAAAGCAUCUAAGCACGAAACUUGCCCCGAGAUGAGUUCUCCCUGACUCCUUGAGAGUCCUGAAGGAACGUUGAAGACGACGACGUUGAUAGGCCGGGUGUGUAAGCGCAGCGAUGCGUUGAGCUAACCGGUACUAAUGAACCGUGAGGCUUAACCUU
Molecule: ribosomal RNA, 2640 nt
Filed under: Escherichia coli
Lineage: Bacteria; Pseudomonadati; Pseudomonadota; Gammaproteobacteria; Enterobacterales; Enterobacteriaceae
Description: partial 23S ribosomal RNA
Rfam family: Bacterial large subunit ribosomal RNA
Source: RNAcentral